UAAAGUUGAAAAGUAAAAUUGAGAAUGGAAAUGGGGAAUGUGUCAAAGAGACAACAACCCGACCAAAUAAAAAACAACAGCAGAGGGUCAUCAACAGGUCUUCAAUGUAGCGAGAAAUUCCCGCACCCGGAGGCGUCCUUCAGCUGUCCCCUAAACAAAUAUAUACUAGUCCAGUGAUAAUGAACGCCAUACUAAUUUCCAAAUUGUACACAAGAAACUAAAAUUAAAAUAAUACAAG
RNAcentral lists this long non-coding RNA (238 nucleotides) under Mytilus galloprovincialis (Mediterranean mussel). Lineage: Eukaryota; Metazoa; Mollusca; Bivalvia; Mytilida; Mytilidae. The record is from RNAcentral.